RNAcentral lists this ribosomal RNA (253 nucleotides) under uncultured bacterium. RNAcentral describes it as "partial 16S ribosomal RNA". It matches the Rfam family "Bacterial small subunit ribosomal RNA", at positions 524 to 776 of the family's 1533-position model. The record is from RNAcentral.
UACGUAGGUGGCAAGCGUUGUCCGGAUUUACUGGGUGUAAAGGGCGCGUAGGCGGGAUAGCAAGUCAGAUGUGAAAUUCCGGGGCUUAACCCCGGCGCUGCAUCUGAAACUGUUAUUCUUGAGUGUCGGAGAGGAAAGUGGAAUUCCCAGUGUAGCGGUGAAAUGCGUAGAGAUUGGGAGGAACACCGGUGGCGAAGGCAGCUCUCUGGGCGAUAACUGUCGCUGAGGCACGAAAGCGUGGGGAGCAAACAGG